This is a non-coding RNA of Paramuricea clavata, 1396 nucleotides long. NCBI's taxonomy places the organism in Eukaryota, Metazoa, Cnidaria, Anthozoa, Malacalcyonacea, Plexauridae. The record is from the annotation of a GenBank genome assembly.
CAUUUUUUGUGUGAUAUUUAUACUCGUGUUUUGUGCACAAUAUAUACGAAACGAACGUAACCUUGGUUGUGAUUGGGCUUUUAAGAUCAACAGGAAAUAAAUUCGUGCAGAAAACUAGGGAUAUAUUACCUGCGAGGCCAUCGGGUCAAAACUGAAUAAACAGUAAAGUCUAUUAAACUUAUUCAUUAGUUGUGGCCAACAAUUGAUUAAAUCUUUAAAUAAAAUUAUUUAACAAUCAGCAUUUAAAGCUGGUUUUAAUAGGCUGUUUUUCAUAAAAUAAAAGUAAGAAUAUACAGAAAUGGUGAAACCUACUUACUGAUCAGCUUCACACUCUAAAACAAUAAAUUAUUACAACAAUUUUUACUAUAUUCUAAGUACUUAUUUAAAACCUGAUAUUACUAAUUAACACAGGGGGCAACACCGUCACCUUAUUUUUCCUAAUUUCCUAGAGGACUUGAUGAGCAUUGAUUUUAGAAUAUUUACUGAACUAUUGUUGACAUUUUGUAACAAGUCAGUGGGGAGUUCCAGUGUUCCAUGUCAGGAAUGUAUAAUUUUCAUUUUAUGAUGUUUUAUGGCGUAUAUAAAAUUAUGUGGAGGGAGAUGAGAAUGAAACAACAGAAUUUAUCUCAGAAAUACAGAAAAAUUGAAUUGGAUAAGUUCAAAAAAAUGCUACAUGUGAAAGAUAGUGCAACAUCCUUGACAGGAUGGAUCUUUAUAUACAUUUAUGGCACGAAUAGUUGUACUGCACUAAAAGUUGAACAAACAGUUGCACUAGAACUGUUGUGUCUAAUAGCUUUUUCAAUUCCUUUGGUAAUGUUAAACAUAUUUAAUUGCCCGAAAAAUAGAACAAUACCACUUGUAAUAUAUCUGUGACAACCUCUUCCUUUGCCCUUAGACAUUAAUUGUUAUUAACAUGAAAGCUGGUAUCCAUUACUACAUGUACAUAAUUUCAGUUGUUGCAAUCGUGUUGUAUAUCAUAUACUUCAACACUUUUGAAGUUAAGUUCUUUGAAUGAUGAAAUUAGAUGCUAAUCAGAUGUUAUUAGCACUGAUGAAGAUCCGGGCUUACGGAUCGAAAGCUUUGCAGUAAUAAAUUUACGUGGUGUUUCCACAAACAAAAACAAUUACUUCUGAAGUUGUUUUAGUAUAACAUGAAUAAAAAAUUAAUCAAACACCACUGUUGAAAACAAUACUAAAUGUUAGGCAACUACGACAUCUUCAGUUGAAAAUGUCAAACAACAUGUUAUCUUCUGGAGUGGAAAAGACAAUAAUUCUGGUUGGGUAUGUAAACAUAUGACUUGUAUGAAAAAGUAUGAAAACAAACAAUAUAGCGAUAUAAUAUAUAGUAUGUUGUGCCAAAACAGGCAAUUAUGGAUUUGGUAAAGCACUUGGGAGAA